AAGCGGCAACAGCUCAAAUUUGAAAUCUGGCGUCUUUGGCGUCCGAGUUGUAAUUUGCAGAGGGCGCUUUGGCAUUGGCAGCGGUCCAAGUUCCUUGGAACAGGACGUCACAGAGGGUGAGAAUCCCGUACGUGGUCGCUAGCCUUUACCGUGUAAAGCCCCUUCGACGAGUCGAGUUGUUUGGGAAUGCAGCUCUAAAUGGGAGGUAAAUUUCUUCUAAAGCUAAAUACUGGCCAGAGACCGAUAGCGCACAAGUAGAGUGAUCGAAAGAUGAAAAGCACUUUGGAAAGAGAGUUAAAAAGCACGUGAAAUUGUUGAAAGGGAAGCGCUUGCAGCCAGACUUGCCUGUAGUUGCUCAUCCGGGUUUCUACCCGGUGCACUCUUCUAUAGGCAGGCCAGCAUCAGUUUGGGCGGUUGGAUAAAGGUCUCUGUCAUGUACCUCCUCUCGGGGAGAACUUAUAGGGGAGACGACAUGCAACCAGCCCGGACUGAGGUCCGCGCAUCUGCUAGGAUGCUGGCGUAAUGGCUGUAAGCGGCCCGUCUUGAAACACGGACCAAGGAGUCUAACAUCUAUGCGAGUGUUUGGGUGUCAAGCCCGAGCGCGUAAUGAAAGUGAACGGAGGUGGGAACCUUUCGGGGUGCACCAUCGACCGAUCCUGAUGUCUUCGGAUGGAUUUGAGUAAGAGCAUAGCUGUUGGGACCCGAAAGAUGGUGAACUAUGCUUGAAUAGGGUGAAGCCAGAGGAAACUCUGGUGGAGGCUCGCAGCGGUUCUGACGUGCAAA
Molecule: ribosomal RNA, 783 nt
Filed under: Didymella sp.
Lineage: Eukaryota; Fungi; Ascomycota; Dothideomycetes; Pleosporales; Didymellaceae
Description: partial large subunit ribosomal RNA
Rfam family: Eukaryotic large subunit ribosomal RNA
Source: RNAcentral